ACAGGGGUGGUUCAGUGGUAGAAUUCUUGCCUUCCAUGUAUGAGACCUGGUUCAACUGCCAGCCAGUGCA
Molecule: transfer RNA, 70 nt
Filed under: Loxodonta africana (African savanna elephant)
Lineage: Eukaryota; Metazoa; Chordata; Mammalia; Proboscidea; Elephantidae
Rfam family: tRNA
About the family: Transfer RNA (tRNA) molecules are approximately 80 nucleotides in length. Their secondary structure includes four short double-helical elements and three loops (D, anti-codon, and T loops).
Source: Rfam by way of RNAcentral